RNAcentral lists this ribosomal RNA (468 nucleotides) under uncultured bacterium. RNAcentral describes it as "partial 16S ribosomal RNA". It matches the Rfam family "Bacterial small subunit ribosomal RNA", at positions 28 to 507 of the family's 1533-position model. The record is from RNAcentral.
GACGAACGCUGGCGGCGUGCUUAACACAUGCAAGUCGAACGGAAAGGCCCUGCUUUUGUGGGGGGCUCGAGUGGCGAAGGGGUGAGUAACACGUGAGUAACCUGCCCUUGAAUUUGGGAUAACUUCAGGAAACUGGGGUUAAUACCGGAUAGGAGCUCCUGCUGCAUGGUGGGGGUUGGAAAGUUUCGGCGGUUGGGGAUGGACUCGCGGCUUAUCAGCUUGUUGGUGGGGUAGUGGCUUACCAAGGCUUUGACGGGUAGCCGGCCUGAGAGGGUGACCGGCCACAUUGGGACUGAGAUACGGCCCAGACUCCUACGGGAGGCAGCAGUGGGGAAUAUUGCACAAUGGGCGGAAGCCUGAUGCAGCAACGCCGCGUGCGGGAUGACGGCCUUCGGGUUGUAAACCGCUUUCGCCUGUGACGAAGCGUGAGUGACGGUAAUGUGUAAAGAAGCACCGGCUAACUACGUG